CAGCCCAUCGCAACCUUGAUUCCUUUCUUCCCCACCACCAUUGCAAGGCAACUCUUUCUUCACCGUUGCCGCUGUUUCCCCGGCUGCUCGACCACUGUCGCUACUUCUCCCUGGCUAGCGACUUUCGACCACCACUCGACCUCCUUGCUACCCCAUCUCGUUCAAAAAAAAAAAAAAAAAAAAAGAAGAAACAAGAGAGGAAGAAGAAGCCGCAGCCACCCCUGCGUCCCCUUCUUUCGGCCAGCCCACCCGCCGCUGCUGCUCUCCGGCCAGCGCCCACCAUUGCCCCGCUUCCCGACUAGAGGCCACCGCCGCCCACCUCCCCUUGGGUCGCAACCGCAGCUGCCGGUUGUCGCCCUCCUCGUGGUGAUCGAAACAGGGC
This 382-nucleotide long non-coding RNA is filed under the name Musa acuminata (dwarf banana). RNAcentral's name for it is "long non-coding RNA (MACU_LNC010919)". Lineage: Eukaryota; Viridiplantae; Streptophyta; Magnoliopsida; Zingiberales; Musaceae. The record is from RNAcentral.